RNAcentral lists this ribosomal RNA (347 nucleotides) under uncultured fungus. RNAcentral describes it as "SSU rRNA". It matches the Rfam family "Eukaryotic small subunit ribosomal RNA", at positions 20 to 371 of the family's 1831-position model. The record is from RNAcentral. Lineage: Eukaryota; Fungi.
GUAGUCAUAUGCUUGUCUCAAAGAUUAAGCCAUGCAUGUCUAAGUAUAAGCAACUAUACGGUGAAACUGCGAAUGGCUCAUUAAAUCAGUUAUCGUUUAUUUGAUAGUACCUUACUACAUGGAUAACCGUGGUAAUUCUAGAGCUAAUACAUGCUAAAAACCUCGACUUCGGAAGGGGUGUAUUUAUUAGAUAAAAAACCAAUGCCCUUCGGGGCUCCUUGGUGAAUCAUAAUAACUUAACGAAUCGCAUGGCCUUGCGCCGGCGAUGGUUCAUUCAAAUUUCUGCCCUAUCAACUUUCGAUGGUAGGAUAGUGGCCUACCAUGGUUUCAACGGGUAACGGGGAAUA